GUGCUUGCUUUGGCACCACAUCUACUAAAAUUGGAAUGUUACAGAGGAGAUUAGCAUGGCCUCUUGCUCAAGGGAUGACACGCAAAUUCGUGAAGCAUUCCAUAAUUUU
RNAcentral lists this small nuclear RNA (109 nucleotides) under Erinaceus europaeus (western European hedgehog). Lineage: Eukaryota; Metazoa; Chordata; Mammalia; Eulipotyphla; Erinaceidae. The record is from RNAcentral.